Molecule: non-coding RNA, 113 nt
Organism: Paramuricea clavata
Lineage: Eukaryota; Metazoa; Cnidaria; Anthozoa; Malacalcyonacea; Plexauridae
Source: the annotation of a GenBank genome assembly
CUAGUUCCUUCGAUAUCAGUGUAAUCUAAUAAUCAUGAUAUUUGUCGUGUUGGUGUAGUACACUACACGACAAAUAUCAUGAUUAUUAGAUCACACUGAUAUCGAAGGAACUA